GAUGAACGCUGGCGGCAUGCCUAAUACAUGCAAGUCGAGCGAACAGACGAGGAGCUUGCUCCUCUGACGUUAGCGGCGGACGGGUGAGUAACACGUGGAUAACCUACCUAUAAGACUGGGAUAACUUCGGGAAACCGGAGCUAAUACCGGAUAAUAUAUUGAACCGCAUGGUUCAAUAGUGAAAGACGGUUUUGCUGUCACUUAUAGAUGGAUCCGCGCCGCAUUAGCUAGUUGGUAAGGUAACGGCUUACCAAGGCAACGAUGCAUAGCCGACCUGAGAGGGUGAUCGGCCACACUGGAACGGAGACACGGUCCAGACUCCUACGGGAGGCAGCAGUAGGGAAUCUUCCGCAAUGGGCGAAAGCCUGACGGAGCAACGCCGCGUGAGUGAUGAAGGUCUUCGGAUCGUAAAACUCUGUUAUUAGGGAAGAACAAAUGUGUAAGUAACUAUGCACGUCUUGACGGUACCUAAUCAGAAAGCCACGGCUAACUACGUG
This 497-nucleotide ribosomal RNA is filed under the name uncultured bacterium. RNAcentral's name for it is "partial 16S ribosomal RNA". It matches the Rfam family "Bacterial small subunit ribosomal RNA", at positions 28 to 507 of the family's 1533-position model. The record is from RNAcentral.